GGAAAUCCUUGGUCCUGCACAUUGGCCGUAAGAGCCCCAGGCAACGCUACAGGCAGGGUGGGUUUGGGGCAGGCUUGGGGCAGAGUGGCUGGAAGACCGCGGAGAGGAAACAGACCUGGGGGUGUUGGUCGAUGCUCGGCUGAGGUGGCCGAGAGGGCCAGUGGCAUCCCGGCUUGUAUCAGGAGUGGCAGUGCCAGCAGGAGCAGGGAAGUGAUCAUCCCUCUGCACUGAGCUCUGGUGAGGCUGCACCUGGAGUGCUGUGCUCGGUUUUGGGCCCCUCACGGCAGGAAAGACAUGGAGGCCCUGGAGCGUGUCCAGAGAAGGGCAACGAAGCUGGUGAGGGGUCUGGAGCACAAGUCUUAUGAGGAGACUCGUAAGCUCAGGAAGCUGGGAUUCUUCAGCCUGGAGGAGGCUCAGGGGAGACCAUAUCGUGCUCUGCACCUACCUGAAGGGAGGUUGUGGUGAGCUGGGGGUUGGCCUCUUCUGCCAUGUCACUAGCAGUAGGACUAGAGGGAACGGCCUCAAGCCGUACCCGGGGAGAUUCAGGUUGGACGUUAGGAAACGCUUCUUCUUUGAGAGGGUGGUCCGGUGCUGGAAUGAGCUGCCCAGGGAGGUGGUGGAGUCAUCAUCCCUGGAGGCGUUCAAGAAACGUUUAGACGUUGUACUGAAGAACGUGGUUUAGUGGGAAAUGCUGGUGAGAGGUCAGUUUGCA
Molecule: long non-coding RNA, 712 nt
Filed under: Gallus gallus (chicken)
Lineage: Eukaryota; Metazoa; Chordata; Aves; Galliformes; Phasianidae
Source: RNAcentral